UUGCACGCUGGCGGCAUGCCUUACACAUGCCCGUCGAACGGCAGCAUGAUCUAGCUUGCUAGAUUGAUGGCGAGUGGCGAACGGGUGAGUAAUACAUCGGAACGUGCCCUGUAGUGGGGGAUAACUAGUCGAAAGAUUAGCUAAUACCGCAUACGACCUGAGGGUGAAAGUGGGGGACCGCAAGGCCUCAUGCUAUAGGAGCGGCCGAUGUCUGAUUAGCUAGUUGGUGAGGUAAAGGCUCACCAAGGCGACGAUCAGUAGCUGGUCUGAGAGGACGAUCAGCCACACUGGGACUGAGACACGGCCCAGACUCCUACGGGAGGCAGCAGUGGGGAAUUUUGGACAAUGGGCGAAAGCCUGAUCCAGCAAUGCCGCGUGUGUGAAGAAGGCCUUCGGGUUGUAAAGCACUUUUGUCCGGAAAGAAAUGGCUCUGGUUAAUACCUGGGGUCGAUGACGGUACCGGAAGAAUAAGGACCGGCUAACUACGUG
This 489-nucleotide ribosomal RNA is filed under the name uncultured bacterium. Its description in RNAcentral is "partial 16S ribosomal RNA". It matches the Rfam family "Bacterial small subunit ribosomal RNA", at positions 30 to 507 of the family's 1533-position model. The record is from RNAcentral.